AGUGACAAGUGGGGCAUGGGUGUCGUCAGCUCGUGUCGUGAGAUGUUGGGUUAAAUCCCGCAACGAGCGCAACCCUUGAUCUUAUUUGCCCCCAUUUUUUUGGGCACUCUAAAGUGACUGCCCGUGACACACCGGAGGAAAGUGGGGAUGACAUCAAAUCAUCAUGCCCCUUAUGACCUGGGCUACACACGUGCUACAAUGGACAAAACAAAAGGGUGCGAGACCGCAAGGUUUAGCCAAUCCCCCAAAUCUGUUCUCAGUUCGGAUCGCAAUCUGCAACUCUACUGCGUGAAACUGGAAUCUCUAUUAAUCUCGGAUCUCCAUGCCCCGGUGAAUACAUUCCCGGGUCUUGUACACACCGA
This 362-nucleotide ribosomal RNA is filed under the name Bacillus pumilus. RNAcentral describes it as "bacterial SSU rRNA". It matches the Rfam family "Bacterial small subunit ribosomal RNA", at positions 1030 to 1393 of the family's 1533-position model. The record is from RNAcentral. Lineage: Bacteria; Bacillati; Bacillota; Bacilli; Caryophanales; Bacillaceae.